Molecule: ribosomal RNA, 344 nt
Filed under: uncultured fungus
Lineage: Eukaryota; Fungi
Description: SSU rRNA
Rfam family: Eukaryotic small subunit ribosomal RNA
Source: RNAcentral
GGUUUAUUCAAAUUUCUGCCCUAUCAACUUUCGAUUGUAAGAUAGAGGCUUACAAUGGUCUUAACGGGUAACGGGGAAUUAGGGUUCUAUUCCGGAGAGGGAGCCUGAGAAACGGCUACCACAUCCAAGGAAGGCAGCAGGCGCGCAAAUUACCCAAUCCCGACCGGGGAGGUAGUGACAAUAAAUACUGAUACAGGGCUCUUUUGGGUCUUGUAAUUGGAAUGAGUACAAUUUAAAUCCCUUAACGAGGAACAAUUGGAGGGCAAGUCUGGUGCCAGCAGCCGCGGUAAUUCCAGCUCCAAUAGCGUAUAUUAAAGUUGUUGAGGUUAAAAAGCUCGUAGUUG